AGGCAGCGUCCCUUCUCUAGCAGCCGGUCUUCUCUUCGGUGGCUUAGCAGGACUAGGUGCCUACCAGCAGUCCAAAGAUCCAAAGAAUGUGUGGCUUUCCCUCGUGGCGUCUGGAACCCUGUCUGCUGUUAUGGGAAUGAGAUUUUACAACUCCAGAAAAGCAAUGCCUGGGAUAAUUGCUGGUGCCAGUUUACUGAUGGUUGGACGGCUUGGGCUGCAAAUCAUGGAAAAGCCUCUUAAGCCAUAAGUCUGCAUCAAGUCACUUGAAGAUGCGUGAUUGAGAAGCCUGAAAAUGCAACUGCCUAAAUGUGCUACACAAAAGUGGAAAAGGCACUGCUCUCUGUGCAUUGUGUUUUUCAUAUGCUAACGCACGUGGGUUGUGUUUUUAAAGGACCGACGUUAAGAACCCUUGUUAUGUCUUCCAAAAUGGUAUUUGUCUUAAGAUUUUCUGCACUGUGAAGCAAGAAAAUACAAGCAUAGUGUUAGUUUAGCUUCUGGUCCUGCCGCUUACUGUAGGCGAAGACCUCUUGGCACUUGCAUACAGACAGUUGCAGGAUUGAAGCUUAAAUGUACAUCUGGACUUGUCAUUCUAAAAUCAUCUAUACCUCUUAAAACAAGGGGAGAGGAGUUGCCAAUUUAUCACUAGUAAUUAAUAUAACAACAUGCUUAUUACGUUAC
Molecule: non-coding RNA, 678 nt
Organism: Nipponia nippon (crested ibis)
Lineage: Eukaryota; Metazoa; Chordata; Aves; Pelecaniformes; Threskiornithidae
Source: RefSeq, a predicted model, not a curated record